This is a non-coding RNA of Doryrhamphus excisus (bluestripe pipefish), 8053 nucleotides long. Lineage: Eukaryota; Metazoa; Chordata; Actinopteri; Syngnathiformes; Syngnathidae. The record is from RefSeq and is a predicted model, not a curated record.
UGUAAUGCAAAAGUAUUGCUCUUUUGAGCGCAUAUUGUUUUGAGAAGCAAAACCCUUUACCGUUGUGACCCCACAAUACUCUGCUGAUGGGGGUGUCAUACAAUUUCAUGUCAAAAAAAUCCAAACUUUCCUGUUGAUAGCAUUGACUGUGUAGCAUUAGCCUAGCAUGAUGCAGUGUUUAUGUGCUCGUACCUCCUUGGUGCCAAACCAGAUGUCCCUCAUGUGGUCGCAGAUGGCCUUGGCGGCAGACAUGGCGCUGGACAACUUCCUAGCCUUGAUGACGGCGGCGCCGCGCUGCUGCACCGUCUGCACCACAGGAACAACACGAAGGAAGAAGAAGAGACCAGGAAGUGGCGUGUUGGUGAUGUCGUUAGAUUCCCGGGGGUCCACUGAGCAGGUGAGCUUCGUUUUCUUCAAGUGACGAAUGAUCGAAAAGCGCCCAAUCGACCAUCCCCCAACUUUACCAAACUAAACAUGUUAUCCCUUUCGAACACACCACACAGUUAAAAAAAAAAAUCACAUGGUCGCCAUGACAACAUUCUCACGUCAUGUGGUCAGCAUAACCGCAUUGUUAUGUCACACAAUCGCCAUGACAACAGUCUUACAUAAUGAUAUUACACCACGCGGGCGCCAUGACAACUCGUCCGUUAUGAUUAUUAUGAUUAUCAUGAUUGUCAUAAUUGUUAUGUUUAUUAUGAUUAUUAUGAUUAUUAUGAUUAUUAUGAUUAUUAUGAUUAUUAUGAUUAUUAUGAUUAUUAUGAUUAUUAUGAUUAUUAUGAUUAUUAUGAUUAUUAUGAUUAUGAUUAUCAUCGUGGUUGUGAUGAUGAUUAUGGUUAUGAUUGUGAUUAUGGUUAUGAUUACGAUUUUUAUUUUUAUUUUUAUGAUUUUAAUGAUUUUUUAUGAUUUUUAUGAUUUUUAUGAUUUUACGGUUGUUAUGAUUUCAUUAUUAUUAUGAUUAUUGUGAUUGUUAUGAUUGUUAUGAUUGUUAUGAUUGUUAUGAUUAUGAUUGAGAUGAUGAUGAUUAUGGUUAUUGUUAUGAUUAUUAUUAUGACCAUGAUUGUAAUUAUGAUUUUUAUUAUUAUGAUUAGUAUGAUUGUUAUGGAUUAUGAUUAUGAUGAUGAUUAUGAUUACGAUUACAAUUACAAUUACAAUUACAAUUACAAUUACAAUUACAAUUACGAUGACGAUGACGAUGACGAUGACGAUGACGAUGACGAUGAUGAUUAUUAUUAUUGUUCAUGACUCCACCAUAAGAAAAACACCGGGCAAAAAUGGCCUGCAUGGCAGAGUUCCAAGACCAAAAGCACAGAGACGACUCAUCCAAGAGGUCACAAAAGACCCCACAAGUGCAGGCCUCACUUGCCUCAGCUAAGGUAUCAGCGUGAUAAUGCACGGCCCCAGUUGCAAGGAUCUGCACCCAAUUUGUGGAAGCGGACAACAUCCCAGGUCCUACACGGGCGGUCCACUCCACCAUGUUAUGUUCGGGAGGCCGUGGAGCGCCACAUACGGUACUUGAGGCAAACGUUGGUCACACAAGAUAGAAAGAGUUUUGAAUACUUGAACUUUAUUGUAAAAACGAUGAUGUCUAAUUGACAUUCUGAAAAGAACAAGUACGAAAACGUGCUGCUAGUCGCUCUCCAGUGGACCCUGACAAGACGAGAACCCACAGGGUUCUGGAUGAGGUGGGAGCGGUCAACCUGGAAGUCUUAGCAGCAUCAUGGAAGUCCACCUUGUCUCUGGAGGGUUUCCUUUUGGAAGAAUAACUCCUCAGGAAGUUCUGGACUGGAAGAAGAAUCAUGGACCUGAUCCUCUUCUUCUUCUUCCCCUGAGUCACGGACAUGUCCACCUGGUCUCCACUGAUGGACGUCACAGCAUCUGGAAGCGCCAUGACGCCUGAUCUUUGUAUUCUAAACAUUCCGAGGUGUUGAAGUUGAGCUUCCAGGCCGAGGCGGCCGUCUGCUCCUUGUAGUCCAGACAGUCCGAGGAGUUGAAGGCCAAUCCGGCAGCACUGUAGGCUUGAUGGGGGUGUGGCGGGUGAUGGUGGUGGUGAUGGUGGUGGCCUGAUGUCUGUGCGAUGUGAUGGGGGUGGUGGGUGUGGCCCGCCAUGGCGCCGCCCGCCAUGGGGCUGAGUUGGUGGGCGUGCAUGGGCGCCAAAUACGAACCGCACUCCAUGCCGCUGAAGUAGGAGCCGGAUGCUGACGCCGCGUAGCCCUGACUGUACGCCGCAGCCGUUUGGCCGUAAGACACCGGGUAGGAUGCUGUCCCCCCGGAGGCGGACGACACGGCACGUUGCAUGCAGGAGGUGGCGGCGGGGGCGACGGGGUCGGGCAGCGUCGUGGUCGCCGUCGGGGAGAUGGGCGCCGGGCUCCAGAUGGACGACGCGGGGGUGCUGACAGAGGAAGAGGUGCUGAUCAGGCCUGCUGAGGAAGAGGAGGCGGAGCUUGAGGCGGCGGGGGGCGUGAACUGUCCGCUGCUGUCGGAGCCGCUGCUGUCUCUGCUGGGAGACGACUUCUUCUUCAGGGCUUUUACUUUACUGCUGCUCUGCUGCUGCUGCUGCCGACAUUUGGCUCUCCGGUUCUUGAACCACACCUGACCAAGGACGGGUCAAAGGUUGAUCUUGAGGGCCACCUCCUCCCUCAUGAAGAUGUCCGGGUAGCGGGUCUUGGCGAACAGAGCCUCCAGGAUGUCCAGCUGGGUUCGGGUAAAAGUGGUCCGCUCCCUGCGCUGCUUCCGGGGGUUGGCUGUAAGAGGAAGCCCGGUGAGGACACAUGUACGGUACCUUUCUAACUUUAUGAUCCACCUGAAAAUGUUUCUUAUAAGGGGCGGAAAGGGUGCGUGGAAGCUGAAGGUUAAGGUGGCCCUACCAGGGUAGCCCACUGAAGGGUGCAGCAGGUCCAUGGCGGCUCCGCUCAGGCCCAGUCCGUUCAUGCCGUACGGGCCCUGUUUGAGGCUGCAAGGGAGGAAGACAAGCCGGGCAGGAAUGCUGCAUGCUGCCGGGUUCCAGAAUCAUGAGGGCUGCAGCUCUCCUUCUUCUUGUUCUUCCGUCAGUGGAGCAACUCUCAAAUCUCCCGAGGCAAGCACAAAAACGUCAUCAAUAUGUUAAUGGCUUAAUCUUUAAAAAGCCUUAAUAUACAUUGAUUUCAACACUGUCACCAGUCAGUCACGCUAAUCCACUACAGCUAGCUCCUACGCUGUAACGACUACAUUAUUAUUCCUCAUGGAACUACAUUGUUAUUUUUAAUGGAGACAUCAUGUUAGUAGAUUAUUAUUGCUAAUCAUCACCAUCAUGUAACCACAUUAUUAUCGCUAAUUAUCAUCUAUCCAUUGCUGUUAAUAGACGCGUCAUCAUGCAACUAGAUUAUUAUUAAAACCACCAAGAUGUACUGUAACGACAUUAUCAUGUAAAUAGAUUAUUAUUAAUUAUUAUCAUCAUGUAACUACAUUAUUAUUAAAGAGGACCUAUUAUGCUCAUUUUUCAGCCCUUUUGUAUUGAGUUGUGGACUCCUAUAGAGCAGCCACACACAAUAACCAGCACAGAAAGAUUUCUAGUUCCUCCAGGAUCUGCACCUAUUCAGUUGUAUUUAUUUGGAUUUUUUGCGUCUCGCGAAAACAGUCUGUUUUAAUUUAUUCCACCCACGGCCCGCCUCCAGGCACACCGAAUUUGCACUCCGAGUGCUUAGAAGGACCUCCGGUUUGUGCUGCUAACUUCGAACCCAACUGUAUAGGAGUUGAUAAACGGUAUAGGAGUUGAUAAUAAACAGCGAUGUAUCUUUCCAAGAUGUCGCCUUUGAACAUACAGCCAUAUGUGUUGGAUCCCUGGACUGGACAGUCCCAAGUUUCUCAAAAAAAGAGGUUAGUUCAGGAAGUCUCUCAAUGGUUUUAGAGUUUUCUACAGUAUCUGUUACGUCUAAUCCUUUUUGCGGGACUACCAGUGUUUAAAAAAACUCGGGUAGAGCCACUGACUGUGGUGAGAAAAGGCUAUUAGCAACGCUGCUCCCUGUAUGUACACUAUAUAAGAGCUUUUAAACUGUAAACUAUAAACUGUUAAUUACGGCUUGCUCUUCUGACUCUUCCAUGUGACCAAGUAAAGUUGGAAAGGUGUCAGGUUUCAGAAAGUUUGUUGGCUAGUCCAGCUGCAUACUGGCCCGUGUUUACAAACCAGUCCAGUGUGAAAUGCCGUUGACAGAUGCUAAUAUUUUUGUUUUGCUGGUCAGGAAUCAGGAAGUCCAACCACCCGAAGGUGGCGUCUUUAGGAAUUGGAAAAACGUGUGGCUUUCCCCUUACGAGCCGUAGCAACGAAAAAACAAAAGAAGAGCAGAGGAGGGCAGAGAGCUUAUCUGGCUUACAUCCCCGCCCAUAUAAGGAAGUCCGCUUCUUUGUGACAUCACAAAGAUCCGGUUUUACCACACCUUCUGAAACCGAGUGUUUGAGCCAUCUUAAACUUCUUUCAGGGCUCACUUCCAAAUGCGCAAACCUCAUUAUCUGAAACUUUGGCAUGGUUUAACACGGGAAUCCAACAUUUUAACUGCAUUUAUUGGUCAGAAAAGUGGAAAAAAGCAUAACAGGUCCCCUUUAAGACACAUCAUCACGCAGCUACAUUAUUAAUAGAUGCCAUGGAAGAUGUUUAUUUGUAAUGGUCAUGUAACUGUUCGGUAAUAACUUCAAGUCCCUAUAGUGUGUGUGUGUCGUGCACCCUCCCCGGUUCCCCUCUCAGGAGAAUUACCCAAAAACACAACAUGCAGGAACCACCGAUCUCCUUAUUAACGAUUAUUUUCUAUUGACUCUUGGAGCUAUCAAACUCUCUUCCAUGACGCUGAUGUCCGAGAUGUGAAAGCAUGAUGGUUCCUUGCUGUGGUGGCGCUCGUCGAUAUUUCGCGGUUGACACGUCGCCACAAAGCACUCAUCGCCCCCCGAGGCCCGCAGACGCCCACUUAAAGCCUGCUUGCCUUGUUCUAGUACAUUUUUUCCUGUUUGCUUUAGAUAACAAAUCUGCGGUUGACCCUCAGGGUUAGGGGAGCAUUACAAAUUAAUCCCAGUUUUAAUAAGUCUGUCUUAAGCCUGGGCUCUGUCCCCCUCAAAAGAAAGACAGAAAAGGAGGAGGGAGAGAAGAAAUAUAUUAAAGCCUGUGAUCACAGGCAGCUUUUCUUGUUUGUUAUCCCUCCGUUUUACCUUUAAUCCAAUACUUGCUAAUCCAAUUUGUCUUUGGGGCUGCAACCCUAACUUCUCCUCAUCUUAUGGCUUUCUCUCAAACACGCCUCCUCGUGCUCGGACGACAAGUAAAUACAUGUUUAGCGGGAAAACGCACAAAAAAGAGGAAGCGUGAGACCGACGCACGUAUUAAAAAGUCUGAGAUUGUGCUGGAAGUUUAGGUCUGAAUAUGCAUGAAGAGCCAUAAUCAGAUCUUGGCCAGCUAGCCCCCCACACACCCACCCGCCCCUCCACACCCCGUCCACCCACUGGAGGGGAAUAUCGGGGGACACAAAGGGAUUGAUUUAAUUACUUGGAGUGGGUCUGUGCUGUGGAGAUGCCUUGUUAGCGGCAGUGAAAGGCUUGGCCGUCAGCAGGCUGGGGGGGGUGCACUCGCAGAUGGCGGGGGCACCGAGGUAGUCGGCCUUCUUAAGUCACCAAAACUAAUCCCCAGUAGAAAGCCCCCCCCCCCCAAUCCCCAUUGAAAGCCGCUGCAUUGAUUGCAAAAAAUGGACAUUCCGUGUUGACGGCCGAUCUGCUCGCUCACCUCCAUAGACGUCCGGAGGGCGGCCAUCUUUACCUCCGGUGACGUUGUAGUGCCGCACUGACGUUGAUCAUAACGAUAUAGUUUAUUUGAUGACAAACAAAGCUCACCUGAGAGGUGUAGUCAUCAAAGGACCGACGAGCGAGUCCUUCAUGAUCUGAUGACAAAAGCCAAAAGGCGUCCUGCCAUUAAGCUCUUAAAUAUGAACCUUCCGCAGGGCGCCGCGCUAUUAAAGUUCUUGUGAAGCCGCCAGCAGGAACCCGGGCCCAUUCACCUUUCAUCUCCUUGUUUGGCCGCCAUGGUGCCGCCUCAAGAUGUUAGUGAUCUCAUUACACCGUUUGAGAGAAAACAGCCGCCAUGUUUGAGCAUCUCGCCCCCCCCCCCCCCCUUUUCUCCUCGCGCUUUUCAAUUUCCCUGCUAACGAAUCUCCCCCGCAUCAAAGGCCAUAAAUUGAUUAUUACUUCAGGUCGGGACAUUUUCCUACCAAGUUUACUCAUCCACACCCCCUGUAGGACUCUUUUCUUAUCUUUUCUUUUCAGGGUGGUGCCAUGUGAAUGGGCGGCCGCCUUGAAAAGCGAAGAGGCCCCAGGCGUCACAAAAAACCUCUUCUGGUUUCUCAUUUAGUUGUCUUGAUGCCCCUAGCACCAUGUGGUCCUUGAAGGUGUUCAAAACAUGGGAAGCUCCGGAGGGAUCAGAGCAAUCUGAUUAGCGUCGGCUCACAGUCGGAGCGGGCCGGCUGGACGGCGAGGACCGAGCGGACGCCGAGCCCGGAGACCGCCGCCUCUGCUCCGGCUGGCCUCCACUUUUUUGUGCUUUUGUGUUCUUUCAACGUUUGUGGUCAUGUGGCGCCGCCGCCGCCGCCAAGAGCAUCAUGGGAAAAGACAACGGCAUCAAAAUACAACAUAAGGGUGACAAUGAGUGGAAAAGCGUUAAAAGGAACUUUGAAGAAACUUUAUUGAGGUGGUUGAUGACAUCACCUCCCUUCCAUGCAUUCCCACAAUAACAGAAUAUAGUAAAUAUUGCCAAAACUAGGAGCGAUGUCAGGGAAAAAGCCCGGUAUCGAUAUCGGCCCAUAUGUUAUCGGUCCGAUCAGCUCCGCCCCCGCCGCAGCAUUCACAACAAGUUUGUCUGCUUGUUGAAAACCAGGGAGAACAUGCAAUCUACCAGAUAACUGUGUGGCCAACAUGCUAACCACUAGGCCACCGUGUGGUCUGUGAGCAUAUUUAGUUAAGACAUGAGCAGGCAUGCCCUUUUGCCUAAUGUGUUAUUUUGAAAUAUCUUUAUUGAAAAGCGUCAGAACAGUUAUUAUUUUUAAACCAUAUAAUAUAAGUGGAAUGUAUGUAUUUAACAUAUGUACAUGUUAGCAUGUUUAGUCUUAAAGACAUGAGCAGGCAUGCCCAGAAAUAGGUUAACUGAAUGAAACGGUACUUUUUUGGCUAGGCAUAGGCCAGUAUGAUAACCUUGGGCAAAAAUAUCACAGUUCUAACUCUAGAAUGUGUUAUUUUGAAAUAUCUUUAUUGAAAAGCGUGAGAACAGUUAUUCUUUUUAAACCGUAUAAUAUAAGCGGAAUAUAUGUAUUUAACCUAUGUACAUGUUAGCAUGUUUAGUCUAAAAGACAUGAGCAGGCAUGCCCAGAAAUACGUUAACUGAAUGAAAAGGUACUUUUUUGGCUUGGCAUGGGCCAGUAUGAUAAUCUUAAAAAUAAAAAAAAAAUAAAUACAGCUGAUGGUUUCACUAUAUUAUAAUUACAACUCUAGAAUAUGUGAUUUUGAAAUAACUAUUGAACAGUUAUUUUUAAACCGUAUAAUACAAGUGGAAUAUACCAGAAAACCAGGAAAAUGCAACAAUGGAGAGCAUAGAAGCCGAGUACUGUAAAUUUAUGAAAGCCCCCCCCCCCCCAAAGUACCUGCUGUAGCGUCAUCUUCCAUGCCGUCACAUGACAGAGGCAAGAAGAGGCAAGCGAGGCCGCAGGUCCGCAACACUCGAGUUUGUCAUUUGCACAGUGCUACAUUCUUUCAUUAGCGCUUUUAUCGGAGCAGCCAGCCAUGGGCGGCAGGUUCAUGCACCCUUGAGCACAAAGACUCGGCUUGUUCUACAUUUACACAAUCAUUUAACUUCUUUAAUUGUACUUGAAAUUACAAUUGCAAAUGACGCAGCGGUUCUGCACGGCCUGCAAAAAAAAGAGCAACAUUUUUAGUGAUUGCUGGCAGCAAACUAAUCUUCCUGCACAAGAAAAGGCAGAUUUCCUGCUUUAAUAGAGGAAGCAUGGCUGAUCCUGGACCAGAUGUUGCAGAAGCAACAAUUAGGCUGAAGGCAGCAAAG